Molecule: long non-coding RNA, 1799 nt
Filed under: Helianthus annuus (common sunflower)
Lineage: Eukaryota; Viridiplantae; Streptophyta; Magnoliopsida; Asterales; Asteraceae
Description: hypothetical non coding rna
Source: RNAcentral
GUCUUCACUCAUUUUGUCGCCCCUCCCUCUCUCAUUCGAUAAUAUUCAAUUAUUUUUCUUUAAAUAUUUCACCCCAAAGCUAUGCCUCGUUUUAAGUAUUGUAACUCCCAAUCACCGCUACCCUUUCCGAUUGAUCUGAGCCUCAGGGCUCUGCCUGACUAAGUUGUUGGGAUUUGGUCUCGGGACUUCGGGACAAGGUUGAUUUAGGGGUACUAUACUUAUCACGAAUACAUUAUAUAUUUUUAAUAGCCCAAAAGUUAUAACCAAAAUUUAUACUAGGAAUCCUUCUAGUUGAACCCUAAAGUUACACAGUGGGUCCAUCCCUUUUUCCCACCAUUUUAUUCUCUUUUUGUGAGUUACCCAAAACUAUUAUUUAUUAUUUAUUAUUUCUAUUUUAUAAACAAACUUUUAUCAAUAGUCAUGCCUAUUAUUUUAUUGACCCAAUAGGGAACCAUAGUUGAGACACCCAAGUAAUCCUGCACAACCCCUAAAAUUUCCAGAACAAUCAGAAUCAGGAUCAGGGCCCCUAAAACUCAGGGGGGGCAAAACCCUAGUUACGAUAAUCUAAAUAACUUUCUGGCCGUUUAGAAUUUUAUAAUUUCAUCGACUCAGCUAAGCUACUUAGACACGAAGCUACCUAUAGAAAAUAGGUUACCACUCGCGUAGCGCGACGCCCAUGGGGGGUACCCCUCGCGCUACGCGACGGUGUCAAAAUUCGGGUAUAAAUAGAGGGGGUUGGGACUUGAAUUCUGUCUUUGGAACGACGUAAAUCCGAGUUACGUAGAUCAAGUUAUCACAGAAACAGUCCAACACACACACACUAAUAUCGAAUCGCUGCCGCAGAACAGGGUAAUUACUCGAUCGCUAUUACGAUUCAGUUUCUGGGAUCAAUAUACCCAAAGAAUGUCUAAGUGCCGCCCACAUUGGGUUAUGCUUUUACUAUACUUUGUCGUUUGUCAUUUUGAUAAAUGAGUUGAAGUAUUGCACUUGGUCAUUCAUUGUGAGAAUUUGAUCUCGGGAAAUUAUCGUAACUGCUGUAUUGAGCAUUAACCCGGUUUUUGUGAAAUUCGUUAAGGUUGAUUUAGGUUUUUCACCAAUACGUAUUCUAUUCUGUUAAACCACCAAAAACACUCCCAACUACACCCUUACAAUCAAACAAACUAUUAAAUCAUCAGAAGAUCCAGAAUAAUAAAUGCCUAAUUAUCAAAAGAAGUAGAAUCAAGAAGUUUGUUAAUUCAAUCCUGCAUGCUGAAUUGUGAGUCAUUCUCUUUUUAUUAACUGUUUUACAAUACUCCAAAUCAUUUUCCAAAAGUUAUAAUUACAGUGAUUAAGUUUAUGUAAUCACCAAAUUACAGCCGGUAUGUGGGGUAUUGUGCACAGUAUUAUUAUUGUUUUAAUCACAUUAGGUGGGCGAGCCUAAAAGAAAGUGAUAUACGUCACUCAUUGGGCCAGCCAAUGGUGAUAUGACCACAGUCACAGAGCUGGUCUGUGACAAAUACCUAUUCGUGAAAUGUUGGUUGAUAAUAAACAUAUGUAAAAACUCUUAAUACUGUAAAUUAUAACAAAUGUGUCGUUUUCAGUAAAAUGAAUGAACUCACUCAGUAUUUCCCGCUGACAAAACCUUUUUAAAACGCGUUUCAGGUAAUUACAGUAGAUUGGAGUAAGGAUUGGAUCCGGCACUAAAAGAUUUCAAGAAGUGGCUUAUUUUAUUAAUUACAUCAAAUUAAAAAGUAUUGUUUUUAUUAAAAGCUACCUUUGUAAAAUUUGGAAUUUAUUCCAUCCAUUUAAAUAAAACCCGG